Molecule: long non-coding RNA, 327 nt
Filed under: Brassica napus (rape)
Lineage: Eukaryota; Viridiplantae; Streptophyta; Magnoliopsida; Brassicales; Brassicaceae
Description: long non-coding RNA (BNAP_LNC026667)
Source: RNAcentral
GAGAGGUAUGAGCAUGGUUGGUGAAGAGGAUGAGAGGCAGAAAAGGCUUUCACCCAAAUCUCACCAACUCUAUCCAUUAUCAACUUCUUUAAUAAUAUUUACUUAUUUCAUUGUCAAUCAAUUUAUGUGUUUGGUGGUAAGCUUUUCACAAUCUCUAUAAGGAAGAGAAUGAUGCGUACUAGGCUUUCCAUUCCAUAAAGUCAAUAAGAUUUUCUUCAUAUGCAUUUAGUAUACAAAGGAUAUUUACUUAAUGCAAGUUGAAGAUUUGUUUGAAACUUGACAUGAGAUUCUUUAAACAUUUUAAAACAAUGGAAAUAAACCAAGUUU